This 253-nucleotide ribosomal RNA is filed under the name uncultured bacterium. RNAcentral describes it as "partial 16S ribosomal RNA". It matches the Rfam family "Bacterial small subunit ribosomal RNA", at positions 524 to 776 of the family's 1533-position model. The record is from RNAcentral.
UACGUAGGGUGCAAGCGUUGUCCGGAAUUAUUGGGCGUAAAGAGCUCGUAGGCGGUUUGUCGCGUCUGCUGUGAAAACUCGGGGCUUAACUCCGGGCCUGCAGUGGGUACGGGCAGACUAGAGUGCGGUAGGGGGGACUGGAAUUCCUGGUGUAGCGGUGAAAUGCGCAGAUAUCAGGAGGAACACCGGUGGCGAAGGCGGGUCUCUGGGCCGUAACUGACGCUGAGGAGCGAAAGCGUGGGGAGCGAACAGG